UUCUUUCCCAGUGCCUCUUGGAUAGUGGGCACAUGUGGCCCUAAGUGUGCCAGAUGUACUUUAAGAGCCUGCUCCAAGAGCACCCUCAGCAGAGCUCCCAGCUGGGUUCAGGAGAAGGCUAACAGUCCUCCUGUGAAUAGGACAGCUGCCUGAUUGAAGAGAUGGCAAGGUUGUGAGAGAAUUGAAAAAUAAGCCCCCCUUCGACCCUGGAAAAUAUCAUCUCCCAAAUUUGUGAGGGAAUCUAAAUGAAAUCCCUCUUAAGCUGCCACUCAGAUCUGGGCAGCAGGUGGGGGUCUUAGUUCUUUUUCUAUAACAAAAUAGUUGGUAUGAGGUAAUUUAUAAAGAAAAGAUUUUGAUUGAUUCAUGGCUCUGGAGGCUGGAAAGUUCACAAGCACAUGCCAGCAUCUGCUCAGCAUCUGGUGAGGAGGGCCUUCUUGCUGUAUCAUAAAUGGUGGAAGCCAUCACACAAACAAGGAGCAAGAAAGCCAAAGAAAGCUCACUUUUUUCCUAUUGGUGCAUUAUAAUUAUAGAAAAUAGUGGAAUUCAUUAUGCCAUCAUAUAUACACAUGAUAUAAUUUGCUCAGUCUCCUUCACCAGGAGUACUUUCCUUUCCCUCCCCUUUUCCCUUGCCCUGAUCUACUUGCUCUGCUGCUCCCAAGAUAACCCAUUAACCAUUGAUCAAUGAGUGGGGUUCAUCUAGAGCCCUCAUAGCCCAAUCUCCUCCCAAAAGUCUUCCCACAAAUCAACAUUGCUAUAUUGAGAACCAUGUUUCCAAUAAAUGCACUUUUGGGGGGACACAUUUGAACUAUAGGAGGUAGUAAUUUCCAAGUGAAAGCAAGUUGAAAAAUGUAUGCACUAAACUUUACAGAUGCUCAUUUGCCUAGGUAUUCUUGAGAAUGAAUGUUUAAGUUC
RNAcentral lists this long non-coding RNA (912 nucleotides) under Marmota monax (woodchuck). The record is from RNAcentral. Lineage: Eukaryota; Metazoa; Chordata; Mammalia; Rodentia; Sciuridae.